This 165-nucleotide ribosomal RNA is filed under the name Curcuma mutabilis. Its description in RNAcentral is "5.8S ribosomal RNA". It matches the Rfam family "5.8S ribosomal RNA". Rfam says of the family: 5.8S ribosomal RNA (5.8S rRNA) is a component of the large subunit of the eukaryotic ribosome. It is transcribed by RNA polymerase I as part of the 45S precursor that also contains 18S and 28S rRNA. RNAcentral also lists the same sequence under 1 other name. Lineage: Eukaryota; Viridiplantae; Streptophyta; Magnoliopsida; Zingiberales; Zingiberaceae. The record is from RNAcentral.
CAAAUGACUCCCGGCAAUGGAUAUCUCGGCUCUUGCAUCGAUGAAGAACGUAGUGAAAUGCGAUACUUGGUGUGAAUUGCAGAAUCUCGUGAACCAUUGAGUCUUUGAACGCAAGUUGUGCCCGAGGCCUUGUGGUCGAGGGCACGCCUGCUUGGGUGUCAUGAC